Molecule: long non-coding RNA, 4062 nt
Organism: Girardinichthys multiradiatus
Lineage: Eukaryota; Metazoa; Chordata; Actinopteri; Cyprinodontiformes; Goodeidae
Exons: 2
Source: RefSeq, a predicted model, not a curated record
UGCUUGUAUCUGUACUGGAGUCACAUUUUAUGUACAAUGUAACAGCAGAGUAAUCAGCAAGUAAAGUUUCAUGUAUGCCUAUAAGCAUUAUUAAUUAGGUUGUUCCCUGUUUCUUAACUGCUACCAUUAAAUGUUGCACUCUGGACAUGAAGGCCAGAACAAAUACAUAAUGCCUUAGACUUUACAAUGUAUUUACUGCUACUCAUUUAAUAACUAAUGUAAAGUGAACAAGAUAAAGGCAAACAAACACAUUCUGUUAUUAAGUCAGUUUACCUGUUGGCUUAAUGGUAAACCAUUAAAUUGAAGGGUGUUGACACACAAAUAAUCAAGCUUGCAAAAGCUAAAAUAUAUUUUAUUUCUGCGGUAUUGGCUGGUGGAUAACUGGCUUAAGUUGGAGUGGGGCCUCAACAAAAAUUCUGCUCAGGACCCCAUGCCUUCUUGAGAUUGUUAAUAUCUUUACUCUGUUCUGGAAAGAUACAAGCAUUAGCCCACUCCAUUAAACAUACUAAGAUGGGGGAAAAACAGAACAUGAGAUCAGCUUUUAAAAAUCAUGACAUCUCUAAUUUGCAAGCGGAAGAGCGAUCACCAACACCAUGCUGUAAAUAAUCUCUUCCAUUUAGCUGUAGUUAAUGCACAAAGUGGAGUGGCAGUGGAUUGCUUCCCUGGAUGAAUAUGUGAGAUGAUAUUAUCAAUGGUGUGUAACCAAUUUUUUUUUUAUGCUUUUAAUACAUUGUAAGUGUGCUCUGUGAUUUCUGUUAGGAAAUAACCACUUAAGUGCCUAAUUUCCUAGCACUUAAGUGGUCAUUAUAAUACAAAACUUCGGUAUCUUUUGUUCUAGCAUGAUGAUAAUAAUGGAAACAUCAAUGCUAAUUGGUCAGAUUUUACAUUAGUUUUCUUUUUGUUGAUUCAAACACAUUUUUAUUCUAUAUGUACAUUUUUAAAUAAAUCUAGAGAAACUGUUGGGGAUAGGAGGCUAGAAAGACCUGGCCGGGACCAAAGAAUCUCGAUACUACCGCACUUCUGCCAGUGAACAGGGGGAUUUUUCAGAUCCUCUGUGGGGCUAAGAUGCCAGUUAACUUGGCACUAUCCAACUUACUUAAACAACAACUGGACAGAUUGCAGCCAGUAGUCGGUAAGAGAAGAGAUAUUUGGAGGAUGUCUGCAGUGGGGGCUCCUUGCCAAAGCCCAGUCAAUGUUGGAAUAGCCCCAGUAUUAAGUUUAUUGUUUUAAUACAGCCCGUAUUCCUGCCUCCCUGUGUUUGGCAUGCACGUACACAAACUGUUUUUGGAGGUCUGUCAAAUUAGUGAACUUUCAUUAUAGUUAGUAUCUUACUUUACAAAUUACAAACUAAACUUGUCAUUUGGAUAUUUUAAAUCAGGGCUGCACAGUGGAGUAGUUUUUAGUUUGUUAGCUUUGUUACAGGAAGGUUGCAGGUGCAAACUUUUUUCUGUGAGACCUUUGUAUUUUCUCAGUAUGCAUGUAAGCAUGUAUUUUCUAAUAAUAACUCGGUUGCUUCAAAUAGGGCAAAAUUAAGUUCCGUGUUAUUGGUCCCUCUAAAUUGCCCUUAGUGUACAUGUAUGGUUGGUUGCCCUGUGAUGAAUUUGCAAACUUUCCAGGGUGUUCACCACCUCUUGUCCACUGACCACAGGAUACAGCAGGUAUAGGAAAUGGGUUAAUGGGUAUUUUGAUCAUACAAAAAGUGCAUUGGCAUACUUUUAUAAUCAUCUUCUAAAAACCCAGAAUUAAAUCAUUAGCUAUAUAAUGCAGAAAAUGUACACUAUUUUCAGAAAGUGGUAUAUUUGUAAAUAAUAAACCUUUAAAUGAAUAGAACUAACUAUUAUACAGUAGUUUUUAAUUUCCUGUUGUUAGAUUUUCUGAAUAGAGAGGACAUGUCAGCUUUUUGGAGGGAACUUCUUGCUGACAUCAGCAUUAACCUUUUCUUUCUGUAAAUAUCCUUUGAUACAAGUGUGUUUGGAAAAUAUGUAGGUAAUUUCUGUCCCAUGUCUAUUUGUAUCUCAAAUACACAGAGUUACGUUAGACCCCAAAGAUUGUUUUCCUCCCUGCAAUAGUGGUACAGAGUGGCACUGUCCAAAGUACCAAAGGAAGGCUGACAGGCAUGAAGGAGAAAGUUAUUAUCAGUUGAAAGGCAUAUUACGAUUUUCUUUGUUUUAAAAGAAAUUAUUUUGCAAGGUUACACUGAGUAAAUAUUAAAUCAUUUCAAGUCCCCUUGAAAAUCAUAUUUGUUUAGUUGUGAUAGUGCCAUUAUUCACAAGCUCUGGUGGUUAGCUCAAGCUAAACAAAGAAUCAUGAGAUCAGCUAAGAUAUUGUUAGCUGGGUACAUACAGUACUGAUCCAGUCUACAUACUGAUCCAGUCACAUAAAUCCGCUCAGAUAUAUUGAAUAAUUAGUUGAUCAUUGCCUUUUUCAAACCUUUUAUAAGUUGUGUAACAAAUUGCAAAAAAUCUCUCUGAUCAACUAAUUCCUUUAAUAAAUGCAUUGAAAGUCUAAAACAGCUCUGCUAAACUUUAUACUUGUGGCCAUUAACAAUUUCAGUUACUUUAUAUAGUUUUCAUAAAGUUUGCAUGUUCUCCUUGUAAAUCUUGUGUUCUCUCCGGAUUCUCCGGCUUCCACCAGCAGUCCAAAAACAUGCAGGUUAAUUCUCAAUUCAGGCAACAGCCCAGUGCAAUUCUUCAAAAAUACGGGGGGUCUAGACAAUGGAUGGACGGAUGACAUAGAGACCCAUUUCUCUUAGUCACAAUAUUGGAAGGACAAACAAAUUAGGCAGAUGUUUGUUCAUCUUCAUUAAUCAGAAAAUCACUACAAGAAAGUAUUUGCUUAAACUUCAGCCAGAACAAUAAUUAAAACUGGAACUAUCACAAACCAGGUUGGACAAUAACCCUGGUUUAUCUUGCCACCACACAGAGUGAGGAUGAUAAUAACAAAGGUAACAAAAUCUCAGAAUUAAAAGACACUAAAGUAUAUCAUUGUAAACUUUUGCACCUCAGGAACAAGAAUGGACUCAGAAAAUCACAGAUAACUGAUGUGAUUAAAUGAUGAUGAAUAUUUACUUCCAGCUUAAACCAAGCUGUGCAUCAGAAGCACAGUCUGAAUGGCUCGGAGAGGCAGUUGAAAGAUGGAUUGAGAUGAGUAAUUGUUUAAGGCAAUAAAAUUUAAUGUUCAGCAGAUCGAAGGGAUAUAUAAAAAGCUAAUUCUGCUUAACAGAAUUAGGGCAUAAAACAUCUAAUAGGAAAAAAAAAGCAACAAGUGACACUCAAAGACACUCAUAAUGUAGCGAAGAGGCACCAGAUGCAUGAGCAGAACUCCAUCAAACAUAGAACAAAUAAUUAUAAUUUAAUUAGGAAAUCUGGUUGGUUCUAUAACUAAAUCUGUCAGGAUCUGGGUUGUGUUUGUGUGUUUUGUGCUUGCAACUUGUGUCUCAGUGUUUCCAGACUGUGCUGAAGUUCUCAGAUGUCCUGGGUGACAGGUGCGACUUAUCCUGCUGAUUGCUUGGUGGAGUAUUUAAGCAGGAGGCUGCCAGUACUUCGACGCCAGAGUGUUUGCCUUCUGUGACCAAGUACCAGGACCUUUUGGAAUUAUGUCUUUGAACCACGGACUCUGUGAGUUAAGUGUUUCCUGGUUAAACUUCGUUUUGUGGAUUUCGUUCUCUACUUCGUUUUCGUCUGGAUCUUCGACCAAGCUGGCAGUUUUCUGCAACCUUCAUCUCCUGGACCAAGAACUAAGGGUAACCUGUCCACCCUCCACCGCAAGUAUCAGCACAAGGAAACAACCUCACCUUUUCACCAAGCACAAUUAAAUCACAACCAAGUAAUCAACUAAGUAGACUGGACUUCAACAACCCGAAUCCCUCUAUCCCUGGUGACCUGACCACAUCCAUUCAGUAAGCCAUUUAUGUUUCCUUCCCGAAAUUUCUUGUUUAUUGCCAUCUACGUCUGUUCCCUGUAUUUACCAGUUCUCUUCACCUCUUCCCCAACAGUUGGAGUUUCGCCUGUUUUCGUUCCAUAUUCAUUUUGUUCCCAAAUAAACAACCUUUAUUACUUUUCA